This 2001-nucleotide ribosomal RNA is filed under the name metagenome. Its description in RNAcentral is "bacterial LSU rRNA". It matches the Rfam family "Bacterial large subunit ribosomal RNA", at positions 478 to 2499 of the family's 2925-position model. The record is from RNAcentral.
UAGUGACCGAUAGUGAACCAGUACCGUGAGGGAAAGGUGAAAAGAACCCCGGGAGGGGAGUGAAAGAGAACCUGAAACCAUAUGCCUACAAGAAGUCAGAGCCCGUUAAAGGGUGAUGGCGUGCCUUUUGUAGAAUGAACCGGCGAGUUACUGUAUGGAGCGAGGUUAAGCAGGAUAUGCGGAGCCGAAGCGAAAGCGAGUCUUAAGAGGGCGAAAGUUGCAUGCAGUAGACCCGAAACCGGGUGAUCUAGCCAUGACCAGGUUGAAGUUGGGGUAAAACCCGAUGGAGGACCGAACCGACCCCCGUUGAAACGUUGGCGGAUGAGUUGUGGCUAGGGGUGAAAUUCCAAUCGAACCCGGAGAUAGCUGGUUCUCCCCGAAAUAGCUUUAGGGCUAGCGUCGAGGUAGAGAGUUGCGUGAAGGUAGAGCACUGAAUAUGUGAUGGCCCCAUCUCGGGGUACUGAGCAUAAUCAAACUGCGAAUGUCACGGAAACAUACUCGGCAGUCAGACAGCGGGUGAUAAGGUCCGUUGUCAAGAGGGAAACAGCCCAGACCAUCAGCUAAGGUCCCAAAAUGUAUGCUAAGUGGAAAAGGAUGUGGAGAUGUACAGACAACUAGGAGGUUGGCUCAGAAGCAGCCAUCCUUUAAAGAGUGCGUAACAGCUCACUAGUCGAAUGACUCUGCGCCGAUAAUUUACCGGGGCUAAGCAUACUACCGAAGCUAUGGAUCCCAAGGGAUGGUAGGGGAGCGUUCCAUGAACGGAGAAGCGCGAUCGAGAGGACGCGUGGAGAUCAUGGAAGAGAGAAUGCCGGUGUGAGUAGCGGAACGUGGGUGAGAAUCCCACGCACCGAAAACCCAAGGUUUCCAGAGGAAGGUUCGUCCGCUCUGGGUAAGUCGGGACCUAAGGCGAGGCCGAGAGGCGUAGUCGAUGGACAACAGGUAGAGAUUCCUGUACUCAUAUAUAUGUGAAGGAAUGACGGAGAGAGGAAGCUGCAGCCAGCGGCUGGAAGAGCUGGUGCAAGCGAGAUAUCGGGAUGGCAGGCAAAUCCACCAUCCGAAACGAGAAGGCGUGAAGCGUACGGAAAGCUAAGGCGAGUACGGAAGGCAGUGGAGGAGCUUCCAAGAAAAGUUUCUAACGAAAGUAUAUGUGACCCGUACCGAAAAUGGACACACAUGGGUGAGGAGAGAAUCCUAAGGUGAGCGAGAGAACUAUAGCUAAGGAACUCUGCAAAAUGACUCCGUAACUUAGGGAGAAGGAGUGCUCAUAGAGAUAUGAGCCGCAGUGAAACGGCCCAAGCGACUGUUUACCAAAAACACAGCUCUCUGCUAAGCCGCAAGGCGAAGUAUAGGGGGUGACGCCUGCCCGGUGCUGGAAGGUUAAGGGGAGGGGUUAACGCAAGUGAAGCCCUGAACUGAAGCCCCAGUAAACGGCGGCCGUAACUAUAACGGUCCUAAGGUAGCGAAAUUCCUUGUCAGGUAAGUUCUGACCCGCAUGAAAGGCGUAAUGAUUUGGGCACUGUCUCAACAGCCCGCCCGGCGAAAUUGUAGUACCGGUGAAGAUGCCGGUUACCCGCGACUAGACGGAAAGACCCCAUGGAGCUUCACUGCAGGUUGAUAUUGGGAUUUGAUGCAGCAUGUACAGGAUAGGUAGGAGGCAAAGAGAUGGAUACGCCAGUAUUCAAGGAGCCGCUGUUGGGAUACUACCCCUGUUGUAUUGGAUUUCUAACCGGACGACGUAAAGCCGUUGACGGGACAGUGUCAGUCGGGCAGUUUGACUGGGGCGGUCGCCUCCCAAAGAGUAACGGAGGCGCCCAAAGAUACCCUCAGCUUGGAUGGAAACCAAGCGCAGAGUGCAAAGGCAAAAGGGUGUUUGACUGCGAGACCCACAAGUCGAGCAGGGACGAAAGUCGGGCUUAGUGAUCCGGCGGUGCUGAAUGGAAAGGCCGUCGCUCAACGGAUAAAAGCUACCCUGGGGAUAACAGGCUGAUCUCCCCCAAGAGU